AUAACCCGAUCUGUUUGGGAGCUAAAGCUAAUUUUCUUCGAAAAACAGUGAAAAAACAGAGAUUUUUGAUACUUUGAGCGAGUGUCGGCACCAUUUAGAGUUAUCCAAUCGAGCUGAAAUUUUGGCUAUCUAAAAAUCUGCAAAGGCGGAACAUUUAAUGGGGUUCCCCCGAAAAAAAAUCGACAAAAAGUUUUUUCUAUGGCAGUUGCGGUCACUCUAGUGUGCAGUUUACCUGUAUUAAAUUAGACUUUAUUCUGUAAAUUCGAAAUUUAUUUAAUAAUUCUAAGCGAUUUUAAGGAGGAAUGUGCAAUUACAGGCGGUUCUGGUCAGUGUAAGUCCUUGACAGACGAGGGGAACGAUGAUAUUUGCACAUGUAAGAUAACUUCGGCGCCAAUAUUUGAUUACUGUUUUUUGUGUAGGAGCUCAAUGCAAAAAUGUUUACAAUGGGAGGAGGGUUUUAUCGCCCCCGGUUUAGACGGGAGGAGCAAAAAACUAUCUAACAGCCCUAUUAGGGUGGGUCAAAAAAAUCGAAAUUCUUUUUUUUGAAUUGGUACUCCGAAAAAUCGAUUGCUAGACCCCUCUAGAAUAUACACACCAAAUAUGAGCUCUUUAUAUUAAUGGGAAGGUCCUCCGCUUUGCAAUUUUCCAUUUUUACAUCAAGCUUCUACUAAAAAAAAAUAUUUUUUUUAUUAAUUGACUUUUUAGCAAAUUUCUUUUCAUAUUCUUGUAGGAAAUUGAACGCUCUACAAAAAAGGCCGUAUCCAAAUCGCAAUGCAUACGGGUCAUAAGAAAACUAUUGAAAUCAGUGAGCAUUGGUUUGGAUACGAAUAUCUUCUAAACGGUUAAAGCAAUCAAUUUGAUUCCAAGGAAUUUUUUGUAGAACGUUUAAGCCCCUACAAGAAUAUGUCUUGCUAAUUUGAAAAUAAUGAAGUUUCAGUGAAUCAGAAAUUUUUUAAAAAUAUAAAAUGUUUUUAUAUUUUUUUUUAACUUUGACCUCGAAUAUCUUUAAAAUGGUUUGAUUAAUGAAAAAAGUUAACAAGACCUUUUUUGUGGAGCAAUCAAUUUCCAACAAGAAUAUGUCUUGCGCGUUUGAUCAUUAUAAUUUUUCAAUUUGUUACAAAAUUAAGACCAAAAAACGAAUUUUUAAAGAUUUUCUCGAUUUUUUUACCUCAAAUAUCUAUUCAACGGUUAGAUAAACGAAAAAAGAGUAUAAGGCCUUUUUUGUAGAGCGUUCAAUUUCCUACAAGAAUCCGAAAAGAAAUUUGCUAAAAAGUCAAUUAAUAAAAAAAAUAUUUUUUUUUUGUAGAAGCUUGAUGUAAAAAUGGAAAAUUGCAAAGCGGAGGACCUUCCCAUUAAUAUAAAGAGCUCAUAUUUGGUGUGUAUAUUCUAGAGGGGUCUAGCAAUCGAUUUUUCGGAGUACCAAUUAAAAAAAAAGAAUUUCGAUUUUUUUGACCCACCCUAAGCCCUAUUCUGGUAUUCAAGUGAAUCUCAUAUCCGAUUCACACAUUCGAUUCACUUUAACUCUAGCUUGUCAUUCUACAAUCCAUCGGGUGAACUGCAUUAUCAUACUCCUAUUUGACCAUUACCGAUAUUACCGACGCACAGUGGCCCGUUUUGACUUUUUUGCUUGCAAAAUUAAUAUCUUCUAAACAAAUAAAGACAUCGCCACAAUUGUUUUUUAUCUUGAAGGAAAUUUCCAAGGCUAGAAAAUUGUGAAUUUCAAAAAAAAAAACUACAGGGUGUUUCAGAAUUUGGUGUUAAAAUCAGAAGUUUUAGAUAAGGUUGUAAACAUAAUGGUAUUUUGAUUACAAUCGUCAAAAAACAAUUUCUGAAGUAAUCUGAGUUAGGUGACACAGUGGGGAAAAAGGAAAGGAACCAAUUCGAGUGAAACAGUGGGGAGAAAAGUAUUUUUUUUGUUUUUUAUUUUUAUGCAAUUUUUUUAUUUUUCUUUAUAGAAGAGUACAUUUAUAAUGUAUUUCAGUGAUAUAUUACAAGUCAAACAGUGGAAAAAGAUAAAAGUAACAAAUUAAGACAUAAAAAACACUAGAUUUCUUUAAAACUAUCAUCUAAGUCCGGGGUAAUUUGUAAUAAACUCAUCAUUUCUGGAGAGUAUUGUUCUUGCAGAUCUUUUUGGUUUCUUACAUGCCUUAAGGAAGAAUAGGUGUAUCCGAUGAGGUUGCAAGCAUGUUAAAUAGGUCUUCAUUUUGCCGAAUCCUUGAAACUUUGCACGUAUUUUGAUAUCUGUACUUCUUGUGGUCUUUAACUUUGCACUCCUGGGCUUCUUCCGACAGUUCUCCAAGUGGAAGUGAUUGAUAUUCGAUGAUAUUUUGACUAUGGACCAUUAUUUUGUGAAGAGUAGGCGUGAGUAGUUUUUCAGGAUACUUUUUUUAGAAGCUCUGCUGUUUUCUUAGUAUACUCUCCAAAUUUAACUGCAUUCACUACUUCCCUGCAAUUCAAAACAUUCAGUAGGUAUUAUUUUCAGCAUCAUAAUAACUUCUCCAUUGACUCCAGUUAUUCGAGCGGUUGCAUCUGAUUGUUCUCCUUGAAGUGUUUCCAUUAUUAGUAUUUCCAUAGCCUUUCUUUGGUUUAUCCACAUCAAGUCCAAGCUCUUCUCGAAAACGCGUUUGGAUCGCUUGUUUUCUUCUCUUUUCCAUCUCCUUGGUCCCAAUAUAUUCAUAAAAAAUCAUGUUAUUGAAAUCCACCACUAACAAAACAAAGAACUCUAAUUUUCCAAGAUUUUAUUUUCACACAUGAAAAAAAAAUGUCGAAAAAAUGACUGACCUUUUCAAAUCAAAUCGCUCUAGCUUAGUUGGGUGCAAAAUGACGCAGCUGAGCUUUUGGAUUUUUAUUAAGAAAUAUAUAAGGAUUUUGAAUCAGCUGAGCUUGGUUUGAUUACGUAGGAAUCUUUUUUUUCUAUGCAAUUUGAAGUCGAAAAAGUAUGCAAAAAACAGUGUUUCAAAAAACAUUAAAUUAAACAAUUAAAAAAUAAAUGUUUUAAUUCUUUUUUUUAAUUUUUGGUUUAAAUAUUUACACAGCAUUUGAAAAAAAAAAUAAAAAUCAAAACGUUUUAGGAGCCCUCUUCCUAGUUUUAACACUCAAAGCUAAGAAAAAAAAUAAAAAAACAGAUUUUUUUUUUCAUAGUAAAAAAUUAUUAACUUUGACUUGCUCUAUAAGGCACACCAAUAAAUAAAUAAUAUAAUAAUAAAGUUUUUCAUUAUCUACCCACCCGAUAAAUGAAUAUUGCAAGCACUUUUGUCUAAAUAGGCAACUGUGCGACGUAUGUUUGGAUUUCCCCCGAUGAAUAGCAGAAUGGCAAUUGGUGAAUAUUUAGAGAAUAUUCCCCUCAAUGGAUAGCAGAAUAGGGCUGUAAUAUAUAUUUUUAGGUACUUUCCUAAAAUCCAAAACUUAAAGCCCGUUAGUUUAUGCAAGACAAAUAUUUUUUCUGAAUUUCGUAGUUUUUACACAAAUUUGCUUAUUUA
This is a long non-coding RNA of Episyrphus balteatus (marmalade hoverfly), 3479 nucleotides long. RefSeq lists it as uncharacterized. The transcript is spliced from 2 exons. Lineage: Eukaryota; Metazoa; Arthropoda; Insecta; Diptera; Syrphidae. The record is from RefSeq and is a predicted model, not a curated record.